CAUGGAGGGUGAGAAUCCCGUUCGAUCUGGGUCGGGUUGCUUUACGAUACGCUUUCAAAGAGUCAAGUUGUUUGGGAAUGCAGCUUAAAAUGGGAGGUAAAUUUCUCCUAAAGCUAAAUAUUAGCGAGAGACCGAUAGCGAACAAGUACCGUGAGGGAAAGAUGAAAAGUACUUUGAAAAGAGAGUUAAAUAGAACGUGAAAUUGUUGAAAGGGGAACGAUUGAAGUCAGUCGUACCGACGGGAAAUCAACCUUUUGAGUGUGAUCCCGCGGGCGUGAGAGAGCCUAACAGCCUCCGCGUUUUCGGGUUUGUAUUCUUUGGGCGUAUUUUCUCGUGUGGUAGGUCAGCAUCAAUUUCGAACGUUAUAAAAGGACCGGAGGAAUGUAGCUUCGAUUCGUCGGAGUGUUAUAGCCUUUGGUAAAUGUAACGAUCGGGAUUGAGGAUUGCAACGAAUACCCUUCGGGCUAUCCGUCUGGCCUCUGAUGGUGACCUUGGUGCCGAAAGCUUGCUUACGGUUAUUGAGGUUCGCUGUCAAAAGGUCAGAACGCGAUUAAAUUCGUUAAGGAUGUUGACGUAAUGG
This 580-nucleotide ribosomal RNA is filed under the name uncultured Glomeromycotina. RNAcentral describes it as "LSU rRNA". It matches the Rfam family "Eukaryotic large subunit ribosomal RNA", at positions 204 to 637 of the family's 3401-position model. The record is from RNAcentral. Lineage: Eukaryota; Fungi; Glomeromycota.